CAAGCAACAUGAGUAAGUACAACACAUGUGCUCCCACAGGAAACCUAGAUACGUGCAAGAUACUGAUCCAGAUGGAAGGACAAAGACCCUAAGUCUGCCCACAGCGGAAGAGAUCUGUUACCCUGAACCUCACAGACCAAAGACUGAUUCAGUCAGUAAAUGGCAAACUGCGUGCUCCCUCAUGGGAAAGAGGAAGGAGGACAAAAUACAUAGCUGGGUGUGACAGUCACACUUGUAGGCCCAGCAUUCAAAGGGUAAGUCAGGAGGAUAUCACUCCCAGGUAAGUCUGGACUAUACAACAACUUGUCUCAAAGACACAAAUAUUUUUAAAGAGAAAUGUUGCCAAUUCUAACCGGUCUUAAUAAAAACCUGGAGCCAGGUAUUAGGGUGAAAGCCGAAAGAUCAGAGAAGCAGAGCAAGCUACAGCCACCACCUCUUACCUCACCACCUCCUCAGCCUGCCAGAGCCUCUGCAAGAGAGCAAAUUCCUGUCUCCUCCUACCUUAUAUUCCUCUCUCUGCCCAGCCAUAUCAUUUCAUGUCUCAACCUUCCUAGUGCUGGGAUUAAAGAUUCCAAGUACUGGAAUAAAGGUGUGCCACCACUGCCUGGCUGUUUCUCUUUUAGACUGGAUUAAUCUCAUGUAGCCUAGCGUGGCCUUGAACUCACAGAAGUCCAGACGGAUCUCUGCCUCCUGAGUGCUAGGAUUAAAGGUGUGUGUCACCACUGCCUGACCUCUAUGGCUAACUCUGUGGCUGGCUCUGUCCUCUGACCUUCAGGUAAGCUUUAUUUCUUAGAUUACAAGUAUCACCACAGGGAAAAGUGAAACCUAAUAUAGGAAACCUCUUUUCCCUUAAGCCAUCUUGGAAACAAGCCUCUGGCCUAUCCAAUUUGCACCUGAGGGCCUUUACAGCCAUUGCCACUGACAGGCACGGUGUAAGUGGAGUUGUGUCCUGUGUGGGAAGUACAAGGUGAAGUCUUAGGUUUCUAUUCAGCCUGUGGACACUCCUCAGUCCACCGCCCUAGAACCGGGGCAGCCUGUGUGCAGCAGCAACAGCUGUCUCCACUGAGCUGGCUGGGCUGGGCCUCUCAACUCCUGACAGGAUAGCUCCCUCCUAUGAUCUUGCCACAUAGCAAGGGCAGUUUCUUGAGAAGAUAGCUGCACACUCUGUGGUCUCAACAGACAGGUCAGGAGGCUGCCUGAUGCAGUGAGUGCUGGACUCUAUGAAACACGUACUUUCCUGGCACUCGUAAAAGACCUUAGAAGGGAUGGAGCCUGCAGGGGGAAUCUCAAGACACGGGCCUGACACCUGUUUCCUACACAGAUCUACCCAGAGACCACAGGACAGGCCCCAUAGCUCUGAGGACAACCAUCUCAAGAGCCUCAGCCAUGAAUGAAACUGAAAGAAAAGAGGCCGUACAGAAACCCAUCAAAGCUCUAUGAGAAAAUGCCCCUGCAAACAAGGAAGGAAACAACCCCACCCACCCACCCCUGGCACUUAGCUGGCACAACUGAAGGAUGCAGGGCCCCCACCCAGGAAGAGAAGCUGAGAACAAAGGCAAGCCACAGGCAGAUGAGGCAGAUGGAUAGAUACGCCUUCCAGCCCAGGACUCUCGAAGACAGCCCUGUGUCCCCAGUUCAUGUGCUAUGCGUACAUCCCUGCAGACUUAUAAAGCAAUGUGUCACUCCGACAAACCUCACUUUAAUUAUGUGUUUGAUCAACAGAAAAUGCACUAGUUCUCUGAAGGGCCCACACCUGGAAGAUGGACUGGUUUCUUUAAGCCCGUGAAGCACCAUAUCAGCAGCCUGUGUUCUGCUGUGAUGGCAGAGGCACUUUUUUAAACAUCUGCUCCCUUCAGCAGAGCUCAGCACCACGUUCCUCAGACCACAACUGUGUGGAAACCUUUUGUUUUCCUGCCGCUGUAUUGUUCCUACAGCUCAACAUCUUCAAAUAUUAAUGAAGGCAGAACACUCACACUGAAAAGGCGACCAGACCCCAGCCUCCGCCGCAAACAGAAUCAAUGAUGGGAACGGAGUCUCUUAGGGCACUGUCCCGUGCUGAAGUGUGGUGCAGGACCUGAGGAUCUAACUCCUUAGCUGCUGAGACCUCUGUUGGGAGCUUCCCAGGAGCCUUGAACAAAACCUUUUUCUCGAUGCUGGGACACCUGCAGGCUCCAACACCUGUGAGAUUCGGACGCUUCCCAGACUCUCUUCAUGCCCACUGUCAGCCUGCAGCCCGGGGCAGCAGCGCAGGGCAAGUCUACUCAGCCCUACAAGAUGAAGGUUCUCAAAUGACACAUGUCCAGAGAACAUCAGAAGAUGAAGACUCACCAGCUGCCUAGUGUCUUCAGCACAACACACUAGCAGCUGCAUACUGCAGAAGCGAGGCUGGGAAAGGGGGAGAAGAGAGGCCUAGAGAGAUGGCGGCUUACCCGCAGCGAAGGCAGAGCACAUGACAAAGAACAUCCCCACAGCAAUCCUCUUCAGGGAGGACGGGAGCAGGCCAUGUCUCCUGAGCACUGGGUCCACUAGCUUGUCCUUCAGCGGGAUGAGGAGGAGGAUGAGGACUGCAUCGAACAUGGUGAGCCAGGCUGCAGGCAGCUGUACAGAGCAUGGCAUUAGCUGUCAGUACAGCAGCACCCCAACCACCCACACAUGACCUCCAGGAUGCUUCAAAUGGAGACAAUGACUCGCAAUGCGUGUCCUGAGCUGGAGAGAAGCUCAAUCCGACAGUACUAGUGUUUAAUGGCUCUGGUCAAGCCCACCUCAGCAGGCUGUAACCAAUCAGGAACUAGGUCUAGUGCCCGUGUCCCAGCUACCUGCUCCAACUGCAGAAAGGAAGUCAUGUCCCCUCCAGGUCUCUUACCGUGUGAUGGGUGGUGGUGAUACUUGAGAUUUCUGGAAUCUUCAGAUGAAGACUCUGUAAAACGUACGUGGUCUGCAUCUGGACAAAGAAAGCAGAUGGUGCAGGUAAGCCAGCAGAGCAUCUCCAAGCCCGUGUGCACACACCCUCCCUCCUCUAGCUGAAGAGGUGUGGCACCACCUCUCAGAAUCAGACACGGCAAUUACUGGGUCACCGUAGAGUCUCUUUGAGAAGAGCUGCGAGGCAACCAAAUAAGAAGCUGGAGGGUCCAGAAAUCCAGACCACCCCGCUCUCGGCUGCUGCUUGGGGAAGGUUUCCCAACACCAGGCAGCCAAUCUGAGCCCGUGACUGGAAACUGUGGCGCCUGGUGGCUCACCCCAGCCCUGCACUGCAGCCCCUGCAGCACUCACUUGGAAGUACACUGUCCAGUAAGGAAUCAGAGCCAAGAACACGGGCACGAUCUUGACCAGGGCUUUCACGUCUUCCACUUUGUCCUCUGUGAACGGCCCUCCACGCGACAUCUUACAUGAAUCAAACAGACUGUGUUUAGAAGAUUGCUGAAAGACUCCAAGGCCUUCACUUUGGGAAACAAAAUGAAGGAAUUAGUUCACUUCCACCCCACAGACAAUGCUUGGUAACUAAUCACUUCUGGGGUGGGAAAGCGGCUCUCUGCACUGCCCUGCUUUACGGCCUUCUGUGACUAACUGAAGACUGCACCCACAGCUCCUGUGGCUGACUACAGGGCCUGUGGACAGGGCAGCUGCGUCUACUGCACCCACAGGGAGGGCAUCUCAACCUCAGGCAGCUCCACAGGGCUGCAAUGUGGCCUGGUGCUGACAGCAAGCCCUGUUUCUGGUGACUACACUGGUUUAUCACAUGAGCAGACACUCGAGGGACCAGAGUGCCCUGAUGGCCGAGAAAGCAACAUCUCCCUCUGGGAUGAAGGGGCAGUGUAAAGAAAAGAACCAUGAUAGGCGCUAUAGCAGGGUGAUGAGGAACAGGGCACUCACUCAUUCACCUUUAUCACAAGCUUGGAAGUCCUACAUGGCUCUUUCUGGCCCAUUUCGAAGAGGAAGUUAGGACACAGAUGAGACCAGAGCUGUGUCAAGAUCCCAAUGCCUCUGAGUUGGGGUCAGGACUGGAGUGAGGCCUUCUUGGCUUACAGGUAAAUGCCUGGACACCCACACCUCAUUCAUAGCUGUGGGUUACAUUCCAGAAUACAAUGAAUGCCCUUGCCUCCCUGGCUGCAGUUUUUACAAAAUGAGUGAGGCCCUCCAGACAGCAACAGGGUCUCUCCCAGCUAUACAAUACCAAUAUGGACUGUAGGAAACUGCACUGCCAACCAAAACCAACAGGAGACAUUCAACCCCACUGAGAGCCUUCCAAUCCCAGACACUAGAAUGGCAGCUGUCUGCACUGGAGUUUAUGAUCCUAGGCCCUAUUUCACGAAAUUGUCACGUUUAAUUUUUUUUCUUCUUUUAGAUGUGUGGCUUUGCCUGUGUGUAUGUUUUGUCUUUGGAGACAGGGUCUCACUAUGGAACCCUGGCCAUCCUGGAACUUGCUAUGGAGACCCAGCUGACCUCGAACUCAGGAUUUGCCAGUCCCUGCUAUAAUUGAAAGCACGUGCCAGCACACCCAGCUUGCCUGCAUAUAUGUAAAAUGUACUGUGCAUAGGCCUGGUGCCCUCAGAGUCUUGACAACGGCAAUGGAUCCUCAGGAACUGGAGCUGUGGAAGACUAUGGGUGGUGGGAACCAAACCCAGGUCCUUGACAGACGUUAGCAAGUGCUCUUCACUGCUGAGCUCUCUCUACAGUCCCUUAUUUUACCCUACAAAGCUAAUGUUCUUAAAUCUGUGUAUUCCAAGUUGGGGAAGAUCAAUAAACUAAAAACCAUAACUUA
Molecule: long non-coding RNA, 4759 nt
Organism: Peromyscus eremicus (cactus mouse)
Lineage: Eukaryota; Metazoa; Chordata; Mammalia; Rodentia; Cricetidae
Exons: 2
Source: RefSeq, a predicted model, not a curated record